GUAUAUAUUUAUGUCAUAAUUUUACUUAAUUAGGUCAUUUUAUUAAUUACAAUUUGCGGGACCUGCCUGACAACCCAGGCCAAAAAUCCAGGGAAUUUAACACUAUAUUUAACCCUGUAAAUUUCCAAGACACCAUCAAACCUGUACAUGGGGGGCACUGUUUUACUCAGAAGACUUCGCUGAACACAAAUAUUAGUGUCUCAAAACAGUAAAAUGUAGUGCAACGAUGCUAUCGUCAGUGAAAGUGACAGUUUUUUGCAUUUUUCAAACACAAAUUGCACUUACAUGGACGAUAUAAUUGUUGUGAUACGUUUUACUGUUUUGAAACACUAAUAUUUGUGUUCAGCAAAGUCUCUCGAGUGUAACAUGUACAGGUUUUAUGGUGUUUUCAAAAGUUACAGAGUCAAAUAUAAGGCUUGUGUUUCAGUUUUUUCACAUUGAAAUUCGACAGGUUGGUUAUGUUGCCUUUGAGAGCGUAUGGUAGCCCAGGAAUGAAAAUUACCCCCAUGAUGGCAUACCAUUUGCAAUAGUAGACAACCCAAGGUAUUGCAAAUGGGGUAUGUCCAGUCUUUAAUAGUAGCCACUUAGUCACAAACACUGGCCAAAAUUGGCGUUCAAAUUAGUUUUUUGCAUUUUUCACACACAAACAAAUAUUAACGCAAACUUUGGCAAAUAUGUGUAUUUUAUUGCAGUAAAAGCAAAUCUUAUUAUGACAUUCACAGUUAAAAUGUCACGUAGAACUAAAACAUUUUGUAACAAUUCUUAUUUUCUCCCAUUUUGAUAUUUUAUUCAUAUUAUUUAUGUUUCAUAGCUAAAUAUUUGAUGUUAAAUGAAAGCCCUGUUUCACCUGAAUAAAAUGAUAUAUAAUGCUUGUGGUUGCACAUAAUAUGAAAGAGGCGAAUUACGCCUGAACAGACAUAUAGCGCAAAUUCAAGUUUUUGUUUACGUUUUGUUUUCAGCAUGUGUACAUUUGGCUCAGUCCUUAAGGGGUUAAUUAUCUGUAAUUGAACUUUAAUUUAAUUUGCGAGACAUUCUCAUAGCACAUCUUCAUUGCAUUAUUGCCACUUUUUAUAGUUCAUAUUGAGUUUUUCCUAUGUCUGUUUACUUUCUAACAUGCAUUGGAGUUUUCAUAAUAUUGUCCUGUUGAUUGUAGAUUACAAUUUCAUAUGGUUGCCAGGACAACGCGUCUCUGCUAGACACUUUGAGGCGAGGCAUACAGUUUUAUGGCCUUAACUCGACAUGAUUGACGUCACUUCUGUUCCUGGCUUUCGGAGACAGGUUGCCAUGGCAAUCCACUCAAUACUCUAUAUAUUUCAUCAGUGCUAUGUAAUGUGUGUUUUUAAGUUACACCAGUAUUGUUAUACACAAGUAAAUGUAAUAGAAGGGGAGUUUAAAUCUUGGUAUACCGCGGGCUGCUGACGUCACUUCCGCUGUCUGUGAUGGUGUUCUAGGAAUGCUGUAACAAGUAUGGUAAGUACUGUCAUUCUGGUUUUACUGGUUUUAUUGGUGUAUGCUUAUUCUAUAUAAAUGUGAUGUGGAGGAGAUUGUAGUAGUUUGAGAAAAGCUCUUUGACACAGCCAAAAUGUCUGCUAAUAAAGUUUGCAUUAACAUCCUUGGGUCCCCGGGCAUUUGCCACUACUAUGUGGGAAUAUUGCCACCCCAGUCUGACAGGCACCACAUAUGAAUUUCUUAUCACUUGGCAUGUGCAGUCCCUAAUCUGAGCUACACUGUGCAAGAACCUCUGAACUAAACAAUGUAUAAUGGGAAAAGGGGGGGAGGGAGGAAGUUGAGCUUGUAUCAAGACUGUUAAGCAUAUAACUUUAGCACACUUCCUAAACUAGGAUUUGUAGCUGAUGGAGGUAAAGCAGCUAUAAAAAGGUAGUCAAAUUUGCACCUUGUUUUUGGAUUGCAUUUCUUAACAUUCUCCAUACAUAUACAGUUGCAAGGAAAAGUAUGCAAACCCUUUGGAAUGAUAUGAAUUUCUGCACAAAUUGGUCAUAAAAUGUGAUCUGAUCAUCAUCUUAGUCACACAGUCUGCUUAUUCUAAUAACGCACAAAGAAUGAAAUGUUGCCAUGUUUUUAUUGAACACACCAUGUAAACAUUCACAGUGCAGGUGGUAAAAGUAUUUGAACCCUUGGAUUUAAUAACUGGUUGAACCUCCUUUGGCAGCAAUAACUUCAACCAAAUGUUUCCUGUAGUUGCAGAUCAGACGUGCAAAAGGUCAGGAGUAAUUCUUGACCAUUCCUCUUUACAGAACUGUUUCAGUUCAGCAAUAUUCUUGGGAUGUCUGGUGUGAAUCGCUUUCUUGAGGUCAUGCCACAGCAUCUCAAAUCGGGUUGAGGUCAGGACUCUGACUGGGCCACUUCAGAAGGCGUAUUUUCUUCUGUUUAAGCCAUUCUGUUGUUGAUUUACUUCUAUGCUUUGGGUCAUUGUCCUGUUGCAACACCCAUCUUCUGUUGAGCUUCAGCUGGUAGACAGAUGGCCUUAAAUUCUCCUGCAAAAUGUCUUGAUAAACUUGGGAAUUCAUUUUUCCUUCGAUGAUAGCAAUCAGUCCAGGCCCUGACGCAGCAAAGCAGCCCCAAACCAUGAUGCCCCCACCACCAUACUUCACAGUUGGGAUGAGGUUUUGAUGUUGGUGUGCUGUGCCUUUUUUUCGCCACACAUAGUGUUGUGUGUUUCUUCCAAACAACUCAACUUUGGUUUCAUCUGUCCACAGAAUAUUUUGCCAGUACUGCUGUGGAACAUCCAGAUGCUCUUGUGCAAACUGUAAUCGUGUAGCAAUGUUUUGUUUGGACAGCAGUGGCUUCCUCUUUGGUAUCCUCCCAUGAAAUCCAUUCUUGUUUAGUGUUUUACGUAUUGUAGAUUCGCUAACAGGGAUGUUAGCACUUGCCAGUGACUUUUGUAAGUCUUUAGCUGACACUCUAGGCUUCUUCUUCACCUCAUUGAGCAGUCUGCGCUGUGCUCUUGCAGUCAUCUUUACAGGACGGCCACUCUUAGGGAGAGUAGCAGCAGUGCUGAACUUUCUACAUUUUUAGACAAUUUGUCUUACCGUGGACUUAUGAACAGCAAGGCUUUUGGAGAUACUUUUAUAACCCUUUCCAGCUUUAUGCAAGUCAACAAUUCUUAAUCAUAGGUCUUCUGAGAGCUCUUUUGUGCGAGUCAUCAUUCACAUCAGGCAAUGCUUCUUGUGAAAAGCAAACCCAGAACUGGUGUGUGUUUUUUAUAGGGAAGGGCAGCUGUAACCAACACCUCCAAUCUCAUAUCAUUGAUUGGACUCCAGUUGGCUGACAUCUCACUCCAAUUAGCUCUUGGAGAUGUCAUUAGUCUAGGGGUUCACAUACUUUUUCCACCUGCACUGUGAAUGUUUACAUGGUGUGUUCAAUAAAAACAUGGCAACAUUUCAUUCUUUGUGUGUUAUUAGUUUAAGCAGACUGUGAUUGUCUAUUGUUGUGACUUAGAUGAUGAUCAGAUCACAUUUUAUGACCAAUUUGUGCAGAAAUCCAUAUCAUUCCAAAGGAUUCACAUACUUUUUCUUGCAACUGUAUGUAGGAACAAUUUUGGGCACCCCUUGAUAUUGCUUUAAUUCCACUCCAGGUGUAACUCUAGUACACAGGCUGUAGGUUAACAUUCUUGAUAGUGGACAUGAGAGAUCUCUCUGAACAAUUCCUGUGCAUUGUUUCUCUGUAAUGUGUCCAGCCUAAUGCCACUUUAAUGCCCAGAACAUGUGUCAUUUGCUAACAAACUGAAAAUCUGUUUAGGCCCACAAAUUUCUAAACCCAUUUACAUGGGUAGCAUUGAAAUGUCAGUCAUUUUACUCUUGCCAUUGCAGCAGUUUGUCGUUGUGUUUUAGAGUGUUUUGAGGCUUGCCUUACUCACAUUUGACUUGUUCUUUUUUUAAUCUAUUCAUAUGGUGCUAGAGGAACCAGUAUAUCACUGUUGAGAAUUAAAUGAGGGUGCAAAGCAUUACUGAUACCAUGCAAAACAUCAUGAUAGGUGACACUGGAAAUGGAAUAUACAUUCAGAAGUGCAUCCUAAUUCAGAGGCCUAAUGAGAAAAAAGAAGAAAGCAAAACAAAUAUAGAGACACCAGUGUGGCGAAAACGCGCGUCGGGAUUAGUUUAGUGAGCGGGUGGUUGGAGCCAGACUAGGGACUAUGCUGCAGCUAUCAGAAUAAUUUGCGUGUGAUGCUCCGGGCAGACCACCCUCUCCAUAUCACUAGUAUUUAGACUAUUUUGUUUAUUUGGCGAUCCUCCAAUAGAGGCCACUUUGUUACACGUAGAAAGGAAUUUAACGUUCGAGGCCAUUGAGGGAAAUGAGUAGCAAGAUUAGGUUGUUAACAGAGAGAUAGAUUCUAGCAUUUCUUUCACCAUAGAUACAUUUGGAUUCAGUUUGAUCCACCAGGAAUCUUUUCUCUCUGUGCUACUAUUUACCUCUUAGCUCUCUUUCUCUCUUUUUAUUUGAUUUAUCCAUUUAUUAUUUUUUUCACUUAGCAUUUAGUAAUUGAUUUUAAAAGGUAUCCUAUUAAAAGUUAAAUUUUAUAUCACCUUCUUUUGGGUUGCUUUGCAUAUGUAGGGAACCUUUGGGACUGACUAAUUUAACCCUUAGGUGUCUCUAUAUUUGUUUUGCUUUCUUCUUUUUUCUCAUUGUACUAGUUACUAGGGGUUACCCCCCACGUUCCAUAAGCAACCCGACCUUAUACCCCUGUUCCUAUUCCCUUUUCUCUCUAGCUCUAUAAUUCAGAGGCCUGUUCUUUUGCGUUAGGAAGCCAUUUUGGAUGUCAUUUUUAUUUAAAAUGGCAUGGAUCAGUAUGCAUGCAGUGUUGUCAUACAGAUAUCUCCUUAAAAGGUCAAGGCUAAGCUUCAUUCACCAAUGAUUUUGUAUGUCUUAGCAAUUCUCAUUUUUAAUAAAAUGCCCAAAGUUUCCUGCAGGAAACUAAUGCACUCCAUAUAACAGAUUAUAGCAGAAAUAGAGUUCAGGGGAUGAAAUGACGCACCUUGUCCUUUCAAAUGCUUAUCUUGUUAUUUAUGUAUUGCACUUUCUAAUUCUCAACAUUGCUGGUCUCUGUGGCACAACAUAGAUUAGUACUCCCAUUUGCUUCCCAUUCAACAAUAACUAGUUGGUUGAUGCAUUUAGGGGUUGCAAACAACCCCUCAGGGCUGUUAAUAGGGAAUAGGUCAAUGGUGCUGAAAUAUGGUGCUCACUGCUAGACAGAAAGUGUAAGAUAAUGUUUGCAGGGCAAUGUUGUGCUCUCAUCCAACCUGACAUAAAAGGGGUAUAAUACUUCUUGGUGCUUACUGCAGGUUGAACUACCAUCAAAUUAAUGUGACUUAAGUGGGGUAAGAACAUGACACAAAACUUAGUACAUUAUGAAGCACGGAUCUGGAGCAUUUUUGGAGUUUGUUCUAUGGAGCGUGUUUUCAGACCUGUUACAGAGCCAAAGUUAAAUUUCAUGUAUCGCUCUGUAAUAUAGUUCUGAAACUGCUACUAUUGCUAAUGUGAGUGACAAUGUGAGUAAAGAUCUCAAUCUAUGUACCUGUAUGUUUCCCUCAUACUGGGUUAUGGUAUGCAGUUAUUUAUGUCCAGCUAUACUAAACUUAUAUUGAUUACUGAGUCCCAGUUGUUAUGCACUGGGAACAAUUACAGAUCAGGAAAUAGCAGCAUGCCUCUUAUUGAGUGCCACCUUAUUCAGAAUUCAGUGUAUAAUUAUAAUAAUUUAAAGUAUUGUCAUACAUAUGAUCCAACUUAUAAUAAUCAUAGGUCAUUACAAAGUAAUUCUUUGUAGCCUGAGGAACACAAGUAUGUUGUAAGAUAAAGAUUAGAGACCAAACACAAUUUAAACUUAAAAAAUGGUGUCUGAUUAUGAAUGUUAAAUAAUGUUAUAUUCCUUAUCAAAUUGCACCUGGACAAUUUGCAUAAUAUACAUAAGACUGUCUUAAGUUAUUUUUAUUCCUGUAUGUUACGGUCAUGAACCUCUAAGUUCUAAACAGGCUGUCAUAAGGACAAUAAAUACUGUUUGUAUGAUGGUUUAGCUCUUGCCGGAAUUGGUGGAAAAGGGGAGGCAGCUGAACAAUCCAAUCUGGAGUCUCUAUCUUCUGGUUAAAUACAGGAUGCUUGUGUGGGAAGGAGAGAGUAGCAUCGUGUUUGCAGGGGGUAUAUAGAGCAAAGGAGGAAAAAAAUGGAGCAGCUUUUUCUUAAUGUUGAAAAAAAAAAAAGAUUUUCUCAAUUUGUGCGGCACAUGAGCGGUAUAAUCCCCACUUAAGGAUAGUGACACUAGUGACCUGGUUGCAUUGAAGCCAUCCAUGCCAUCGCACUGCCUCCACCGUGUUUUACAGGUGGUUAUGCUUCAGAUAAUGAGCCAUUCCAAGCCAGCUGCAUACUUUUUUUCUUCCCAUCAUUCUGGUAAAGGAAUAAUCUUAGCUUCAUCUGUCCAAAGAUGCUGUUCCAGAACUGGGCCGGCUUUUUUAGAUAUUUUUUUUUGGCAGUGUCUAAUCUGGCCUUUCUAUUUUUUUUUUUUUUUUUAUAUUCUUUCUUUAUUUAACACUAAAAACAACAAAAAAUAACUCAUUAUACAGUCUUUAACAUGCAUUUAACAGCAAUAUUACCUAAAAGAUUGCAUUUAAGCUCUAAUAUCACCAUUUUGAUUUAUUCAUCAAUACAAAUUUUUACACACACACAAAAAAAAAAAACUAUCUACCUAUGGCCUUUCUAUUCUUGAGGCUUAUUAAUGUGGUGAACCUUCUGUAUUUGCUCUUGUGAAUUCUUGUCUUCAUGGUAGGCUUGGAUAAUGAUAUGCCUACCUCCUGGAGGCAGAACAACCCCACCACUGUUUUCUGUGGAUGUUGUUUCCAGGCCUUUUUGUGUUGCAGAGCUCACCAGUGCUUUUUUUUCCUCAGACUGUACCAAACUGUUGAUUUGGCCACUAUUCCUGCUAUCAAUCUGAUGGAUUUUGUAUUUUUUGCAGCCUAAGGAUGGCCUGUUUAAUUUGCUCUGAGAGCUCCUUUGACUGCAUGUUGUGGGUUCACAGCAACAUCUUCCAAAUGCGCAUGCCACACCUGGAAUCUACUUCAGACCUUUUUACCUGCUUAAUUAUUGAAGAAAUAUUAUGGGAAUAGUCAAUACCUGUCCAUGAAAGAGCUUUUCAGUCAAUUGUCCAAUUACUUUUGGUCCCUUGAAAAAAGAGGGGAUACAUAUUAAAGAGCUGUAAUUUCUAAACCCUUCCUCCAAUUUAGAUGUGAAUACCCUCAAAUAAUGAAUAUGUACUUAAAGUGCAGUCUCCCAGCUUUAAUUUAACUAUAACUUGAAUUUUAUUUGGUAAACAGCCGAAAUAACAAAACUUGUUUCAGUGUCUAAAUAUCUCCAGACCAAACAGUACCACCUGUGAAUACUGUGAGGAACUACUCCUUCCUUCCUUCCAACACUAGCAGGCUAUCAUAAGGGUAGUAAAAACAGAGGGGAAAAGUCUGCGCUUAAUAACAGGGAAGAAAGCAGCAACCCUAAAGAGGGAAUCCCUCAAGACCCUUGGUAAGAUAGGAAGAAAAAAGAGGAGUUAAGGGCUGCGCUAUUGUACAGAGAACAGUACCAUAAUAUAGAAACCAAUUGGUUGAAGUAUAUAAUCAGCAAGUGAUAAAACCUGGGUGUAAUAGUCUCUAUUGCAAUUAUAUAAAAAUAAUGAAUAAAACUGAGUCCAUCCAGAUGUUCAGUAAAGAUCAAAUGAUAAGAAAAUGUUGAAUAAAAUCAAUAAAAACAGUCUCACUGAUAUAUGGAUAGGGUAUGUGUACAAUCCUCAGGAGUUGAUCCGUCCGGGUUGUAGAUAAUCCGUAUAUGUUAAGAUAAAAGAAAACACAAAAAAACUGCCAAUGGUGAAAUAUUGUAGCUCCAAGGGUAAAAAUAAGUAGAAAGGAGGAUUGUACACUCACAUUUGAUGGAGCUAGGGCCAGCUCUAAUGCAAAUAGUGCUCUCAGUAAGAACAAUAAAUAAAAUAAAAUAUACUUACAAGAGUAGAGCAGAAAAUACUGCCACAGCGCUGGUGGAAUUAUCCCCACCUAUGGAUUUCUUGGAACUGGAUACAAUAAGAAUAAAAAUAAAAAAUGUAAGGAAUAAUAGUAAAAGUGUGUGUGAAAUACAAUAAAAUAAGUAAAAGAUUGGUCCUAUAAAAAAAAAAAGGUAACCAAAAAUAACUUUUGUUUUAAAAUACACAAUUUUGAUAAAGCCUUAUAGGUGAAACACAUUAAUGGUUUUAAAUUGUGUAUUUUAUAACAAUAAAAAAGUUAUUUUUGGUUGUGAGUAUAUUUUAUUUAUUGUAUUGUUCUUACUGAGAGCACUAUUUGCUGUUUCUUAUACCUUGUGGAAUAUGACGAACCCAAGCCGGACGGACGGACCUACCCUUCCAGUACAUCCUUUAGUGGGGAUUAUACCACUAAGUUCCCUUCACCCCAGAGCUGGCCCUAGCUCCAUCAAACGUGAGUGUACAAUCCUUUCUACUUAUUUUUACCCUUGGAGCUACAAUAUUUCACCAUUGGCAGUUUUUUGUGUUUUCUUUUAUCUUCACAUAUACGGAUUAUCUACAACCCGGACGAAUCAACUCCUAAGGAUUGUACACAUACCCUAU
Pelobates cultripes (western spadefoot toad) is the source of this 8608-nucleotide non-coding RNA. The record is from the annotation of a GenBank genome assembly. Lineage: Eukaryota; Metazoa; Chordata; Amphibia; Anura; Pelobatidae.